Molecule: ribosomal RNA, 513 nt
Filed under: uncultured bacterium
Lineage: Bacteria
Description: partial 16S ribosomal RNA
Rfam family: Bacterial small subunit ribosomal RNA
Source: RNAcentral
GACGAACGCUGGCGGCGUGCCUAAUACAUGCAAGUUGAGCGCUGAAGGUUGGUACUUGUACCGACUGGAUGAGCAGCGAACGGGUGAGUAACGCGUGGGGAAUCUGCCUUUGAGCGGGGGACAACGUUUGGAAACGAAUGCUAAUACCGCAUGAAAACUUUAAACACAAGUUUUAAGUUUGAAAGAUGCAAUUGCAUCACUCAAAGAUGAUCCCGCGUUGUAUUAGCUAGUUGGUGAGGUAAAGGCUCACCAAGGCGAUGAUACAUAGCCGACCUGAGAGGGUGAUCGGCCACAUUGGGACUGAGACACGGCCCAAACUCCUACGGGAGGCAGCAGUAGGGAAUCUUCGGCAAUGGACGAAAGUCUGACCGAGCAACGCCGCGUGAGUGAAGAAGGUUUUCGGAUCGUAAAACUCUGUUGGUAGAGAAGAACGUUGGUGAGAGUGGAAAGCUCAUCAAGUGACGGUAACUACCCAGAAAGGGACGGCUAACUACGUGCCAGCCGCCGCAGUAA